Molecule: ribosomal RNA, 1688 nt
Filed under: Careproctus cypselurus
Lineage: Eukaryota; Metazoa; Chordata; Actinopteri; Perciformes; Liparidae
Description: 16S rRNA
Rfam family: Bacterial large subunit ribosomal RNA (bases 96-1608)
Source: RNAcentral
CGCUCAACAGCUAGCCCCCUCCCCAACUUCAACAAACCCCUAUUAAUACCCCUAAAUACCCCCAUUUUAUUUUAACAAAACAUUUUUCCCUCUUAGUAUAGGUGACAGAAAAGAAACCUCCGGCGCAAUAGAAAAAGUACCGUAAGGGAAUGCUGAAAAAGAAAUGAAAAAACUCAGUAAAGCCUCAAAAAGCAGAGUUUAACUCUCGUACCUUUUGCAUCAUGAUUUAGUGAGUGUUCUCCAAGCAAAGCGUACUUUAGUUUGAUACCCCGAAACUACGUGAGCUACUUCAAGACAGCCUAUUAAUAGGGCAAACCCAUCUCUGUGGCAAAAGCGUGGGAAGAACUUUGAGUAGAGGUGACAAACCUACCGAACCUAGUUAUAGCUGGUUGUCCAAGAAAUGAAUAGAAGUUCAGCCUCUAAGCUUCUCUUUUCACCUGAGCUUAACUCCUUUAGAUGUAUUAAAGAAACUAAGAAAGUUAGUCAAAGGGGGUACAGCUCCUUUGAAUCAAGACACAACUUUAACAGGCGGGUAAAGAUCAUAGUAACCAAAGCUAAACAUUCUGGUGGGCCUAAAAGCAGCCAUCCCUUAGAAAGCGUUAAAGCUCAGACAUAUUCUUAUACCUUAUUAUCUUGAUCAAUAAAUCUCACCCCCCUAACCAUACUGGACCCUCCCCUGCCCCCAGGGGUGUGAUUAUGCUAAUAUGAGUAAUAAGAGAGCCCCGCCUCUCUCCCUGCACACGUGUACCUCGGAACAGACAAUCCACCGACCAUUAACGGCCCCAAACAAAGAGGGCCCUAGAUCCUAACUCAAAACCUAGUAAAACAUCUAAAAAUUAACCGUUAAUCCCACACAGGUGUGCCCCAAGGAAAGACUUAAAGAAAGAGAAGGAACUCGGCAAACACAUUAAGCCUCGCCUGUUUACCAAAAACAUCGCCUCUUGUGCCCCCCAAAAUAAGAGGUCUUGCCUGCCCUGUGACUGUUUGUUUAACGGCCGCGGUAUUUUAACCGUGCGAAGGUAGCGCAAUCACUUGUCUUUUAAAUAAAGACCCGUAUGAAUGGCAUAACGAGGGCUUAGCUGUCUCCUCUUUCAAGUCAAUGAAACUGAUCUUUCCGUGCAGAAGCGGGAAUUUAAACAUAAGACGAGAAGACCCUUUGGAGCUUUAGGCACUAUGACAGCUUACAUUAAACACCCUCAAAUAAAAGAAAAGAAACAAAGUAAGCCCUGCCCUAAUGCCUUUGGUUGGGGCGACCACGGGGAAUAAAAUAACCCCCAUGUGGAACGGGAAAACUCCUCCUAUAACUAAGAGUUACAACUCUAAAAAACAAAAAUUUUGACCAAUAAGAUCCGGCAAUGCCGAUCAACGGAUCGAGUUACCCUAGGGAUAACAGCGCAAUCCUCUUUUAGAGCCCAUAUCGACAAGAGGGUUUACGACCUCGAUGUUGGAUCAGGACAUCCUAAUGGUGUAGUCGCUAUUAAGGGUUCGUUUGUUCAACGAUUAAAGUCCUACGUGAUCUGAGUUCAGACCGGAGUAAUCCAGGUCAGUUUCUAUCUAUGCUAUGCUUUUUUCUAGUACGAAAGGACCGAAAAAAGGAGGCCUCUACUUAAAGCACGCCUCCCCCCCCACCUGAUGAAAUCAACUAAAAUAGACAAAAGGACAUACUCUAAUGCCUGAGAAAAAGGCCC